CCCUUAGAUGUUCUGGGCCGCACGCGCGCUACACUGAUGCAUUCAACGAGUUUCUUCCUGGUCCGAGAGGAAUGGGUAACCUUUUGAAAGUGCAUCGUUAUAGGGAUAGACUAUUGCAAUUAUUGGUCUUCAACGAGGAAUUCCUAGUAGACGUAGUUCAUCAGACUGCAUCGAUUACGUCCCUGCCCUUUGUACACACCGCCCGUCGCUCCUACCGAUUGAAUGCUCAGGUGAGCCAUUCGGACUUUCAUCAUGCUGGUUUCCAGUUUUGAUGAAGGAAAGUCUUGCGAACCUUAUCAUUUAGAGGAAGGAGAAGUCGUAACA
This 324-nucleotide ribosomal RNA is filed under the name uncultured eukaryote. RNAcentral describes it as "partial 18S ribosomal RNA". It matches the Rfam family "Eukaryotic small subunit ribosomal RNA", at positions 1470 to 1796 of the family's 1831-position model. The record is from RNAcentral.